RNAcentral lists this ribosomal RNA (676 nucleotides) under Elizabethkingia meningoseptica. RNAcentral describes it as "bacterial SSU rRNA". It matches the Rfam family "Bacterial small subunit ribosomal RNA", at positions 123 to 784 of the family's 1533-position model. The record is from RNAcentral. Lineage: Bacteria; Pseudomonadati; Bacteroidota; Flavobacteriia; Flavobacteriales; Weeksellaceae.
AACCUGCCCAUAAGACUGGGAUCCCUCCGGGAAACCGGGGCUAAUACCGGAUAACAUUUUGAACCGCAUGGUUCGAAAUUGAAAGGCGGCUUCGGCUGUCACUUAUGGAUGGACCCGCGUCGCAUUAGCUAGUUGGUGAGGUAACGGCUCACCAAGGCAACGAUGCGUAGCCGACCUGAGAGGGUGAUCGGCCACACUGGGACUGAGACACGGCCCAGACUCCUACGGGAGGCAGCAGUAGGGAAUCUUCCGCAAUGGACGAAAGUCUGACGGAGCAACGCCGCGUGAGUGAUGAAGGCUUUCGGGUCGUAAAACUCUGUUGUUAGGGAAGAACAAGUGCUAGUUGAAUAAGCUGGCACCUUGACGGUACCUAACCAGAAAGCCACGGCUAACUACGUGCCAGCAGCCGCGGUAAUACGUAGGUGGCAAGCGUUAUCCGGAAUUAUUGGGCGUAAAGCGCGCGCAGGUGGUUUCUUAAGUCUGAUGUGAAAGCCCACGGCUCAACCGUGGAGGGUCAUUGGAAACUGGGAGACUUGAGUGCAGAAGAGGAAAGUGGAAUUCCAUGUGUAGCGGUGAAAUGCGUAGAGAUAUGGAGGAACACCAGUGGCGAAGGCGACUUUCUGGUCUGUAACUGACACUGAGGCGCGAAAGCGUGGGGAGCAAACAGGAUUAGAUA